UGGGGAAUAUUGGACAAUGGGGGCAACCCUGAUCCAGCAAUGCCGCGUGUGUGAAGAAGGUUUUCGGAUUGUAAAGCACUUUCGGCGGGGACGAUGAUGACGGUACCCGCAGAAGAAGCCCCGGCUAACUUCGUGCCAGCAGCCGCGGUAAUACGAAGGGGGCUAGCGUUGCUCGGAAUGACUGGGCGUAAAGGGCGUGUAGGCGGUUUGUACAGUCAGAUGUGAAAUCCCCGGGCUUAACCUGGGAGCUGCAUUUGAUACGUGCAAACUAGAGUGUGAGAGAGGGUUGUGGAAUUCCCAGUGUAGAGGUGAAAUUCGUAGAUAUUGGGAAGAACACCGGUGGCGAAGGCGGCAACCUGGCUUCAUUAACUGACGCUGAGGCGCGAAAGCGUGGGGAGCAAAACA
RNAcentral lists this ribosomal RNA (405 nucleotides) under uncultured Acetobacter sp. RNAcentral's name for it is "bacterial SSU rRNA". It matches the Rfam family "Bacterial small subunit ribosomal RNA", at positions 355 to 775 of the family's 1533-position model. The record is from RNAcentral. Lineage: Bacteria; Pseudomonadati; Pseudomonadota; Alphaproteobacteria; Acetobacterales; Acetobacteraceae.